RNAcentral lists this ribosomal RNA (253 nucleotides) under uncultured bacterium. Its description in RNAcentral is "partial 16S ribosomal RNA". It matches the Rfam family "Bacterial small subunit ribosomal RNA", at positions 524 to 776 of the family's 1533-position model. The record is from RNAcentral.
UACGAAGGGGGCUAGCGUUGCUCGGAAUGACUGGGCGUAAAGGGCGCGUAGGCGGAUGGCACAGUCAGAUGUGAAAUUCCCGGGCUUAACCUGGGGGCUGCAUUUGAUACGUGUUGUCUUGAGUUCGGAAGAGGGUCGUGGAAUUCCCAGUGUAGAGGUGAAAUUCGUAGAUAUUGGGAAGAACACCGGUGGCGAAGGCGGCGACCUGGUCCGACACUGACGCUGAGGCGCGAAAGCGUAGGGAGCAAACAGG